CUCCUCAGUACUGAAAACGCCAUAGAAUCUUGUCUUAUAGCUGUCCCUACCCCCAUCUCACUGUUAAGAAAGUACCUACAUACCCAUAGACCCCAUAAAUCUCUACAACUAUAUUCUUAUGCCUUCAACCCACUCGUAGGCAAGCCUCCUCUAGCCCUGAAGACAAUUAAUGUGACAGGUGCUGAACUAUGUUGGUCUUUUUCAUGUAAUUGUUCAAGAGACCCUAAUACUGAAUCCCUGUUUUGCCCCACAUGGUGGAAAAAUACCACGAAUUGUAGAGCCCUAAGCACCACUAUGAAUUGUACCAAAACUCAC
This is a non-coding RNA of Pelobates cultripes (western spadefoot toad), 315 nucleotides long. The record is from the annotation of a GenBank genome assembly. NCBI's taxonomy places the organism in Eukaryota, Metazoa, Chordata, Amphibia, Anura, Pelobatidae.